RNAcentral lists this ribosomal RNA (253 nucleotides) under uncultured bacterium. Its description in RNAcentral is "partial 16S ribosomal RNA". It matches the Rfam family "Bacterial small subunit ribosomal RNA", at positions 524 to 776 of the family's 1533-position model. The record is from RNAcentral.
UACAGAGGGGGCAAGCGUUGUUCGGAAUUACUGGGCGUAAAGGGCGCGUAGGCGGCCUUCUAAGUCGAACGUGAAAUCCCCGGGCUCAACCCGGGAACUGCGUCCGAUACUGGAAGGCUUGAAUCCGGGAGAGGGAUGCGGAAUUCCAGGUGUAGCGGUGAAAUGCGUAGAUAUCUGGAGGAACACCGGUGGCGAAGGCGGCAUCCUGGACCGGUACUGACGCUGAGGUGCGAAAGCGUGGGGAGCAAACAGG